This 552-nucleotide ribosomal RNA is filed under the name uncultured bacterium. RNAcentral's name for it is "bacterial SSU rRNA". It matches the Rfam family "Bacterial small subunit ribosomal RNA", at positions 342 to 912 of the family's 1533-position model. The record is from RNAcentral.
CGGGAGGCAGCAGUGGGGAGUCUUAGACAAUGGGGGCAACCCUGAUCUAGCCAUGCCGCGUGAGUGAUGAAGGCCUUAGGGUCGUAAAGCUCUUUCGCCUGUGAUGAUAAUGACAGUAGCAGGUAAAGAAACCCCGGCUAACUCCGUGCCAGCAGCCGCGGUAAUACGGAGGGGGUUAGCGUUGUUCGGAAUUACUGGGCGUAAAGCGCGCGUAGGCGGAUUAGAAAGUUGGGGGUGAAAUCCCGGGGCUCAACCCCGGAACUGCCUCCAAAACUGCUAGUCUAGAGUUCGAGAGAGGUGAGUGGAAUUCCGAGUGUAGAGGUGAAAUUCGUAGAUAUUCGGAGGAACACCAGUGGCGAAGGCGGCUCACUGGCUCGAUACUGACGCUGAGGUGCGAAAGUGUGGGGAGCAAACAGGAUUAGAUACCCUGGUAGUCCACACCGUAAACGAUGAAUGCCAGUCGUCGGGUAGUAUACUAUUCGGUGACACACCUAACGGAUUAAGCAUUCCGCCUGGGGAGUACGGUCGCAAGAUUAAAACUCAAAGGAAUUG